Ornithorhynchus anatinus (platypus) is the source of this 2220-nucleotide long non-coding RNA. RefSeq lists it as uncharacterized. Lineage: Eukaryota; Metazoa; Chordata; Mammalia; Monotremata; Ornithorhynchidae. The record is from RefSeq and is a predicted model, not a curated record. The transcript is spliced from 5 exons.
CUGCGACUCCCAAGCCCGGGCUCCACUGAGCCACGCUGCUUCUCUACUGAACCGUUGGCCCACGAUGAAGGAGUCGGCUCAGCUCGUCUCCCCCCGGCCUGCGGGAGUCUAAAUCGGCAAUAGUCUGCAAACUAGAUCCGGGCAACAUAAAGGCAAGCUCCAAGAUUCCCUCCACUGCAAGGCGUUUGGGGCACGGGAGCUGCACUGGCGUGGAGCUGGCAGGAAAGUCGUCUUAUGCUCCUGCUGCUUCAGCUCUUUGGGCCUGUAGGCUGUGGUCCCCUCGUCCGGCCGAGGAAUCUGUGGAGCUCCCAUCAUCGUCAGCCAGCUGCUAGAGAAGACUGGGGCGAUUCUGCCACCUCCCACCCCCAACCCAACACCCACUCGCCAACAGCACCUUUAAAUGCCUGGCUGUUCUGGGCUAUAGCAACAUGAAGGCUGAAGACCUGUGAGAAGGCACUGCCAGGAAGAACAGAGGGAGAUUACCCCAGGGAGCCAGAGAACCCCACCCUCCAAUCAUCUCUGGGCCAGCCCUGGGUAGCGCCCUGGCACCCGACACCAUGUGCCCUCCCUGGGCAGCUUUCACCGUGGGAUCCAGGAAUGCUACUUAGAAGGGAAAAACCAGGAAAGAUUCCACAAUUCAAGUUGCUUGGUGUUUAUCAAAAAGUAACUUUCCACUUUAAUAGCCAGUUCCAGUUAAUCAUGGAGUUAAUUCACCGAGGAAAAUGAGUAAGGUUUGACGUCUAUUUCCUGACGUGUGAAUCACCAAAAAUAUUUGCUCCCCCUGCCCCCCCAAACACACACACAUACACACACACACACACACACGGUGUGAUUUCUGUUCAUCUCAGCUUGUCUGCUGGCCAGAUCUUUGCUUAGGUAUCAAUUUUCACAUCCCAAGACCAUUACUCCCCUAUUAAGCUGUCUAAACCUUCCUGAUCUUUUGAUGGUGCAGCAUUUCUAACUUUAUAUUAUCCUCCCAUAAUCAUCUACCUGCAGAUACAACAAAUGAAUUUACAUCACCUAGGCAAAGUGAGGCUUGUUGGGUUUUCUGCUCUUUUACUGCUUGCGUGGCUUGUACUAAUACUGGUAGUAGUAAUAGUAUUUAUUAAGCACAUCCUGUGUGCAGAACACUGUGUUAGACACUGGGAGAAAAUACAUAGGUGGGAAUUAGACAUGGUCCCUGUCCCUCGGAAGGCUUCUCCUCUUCCAUCACGUGCUGCCCCUGUCAGAAAUGUUUUUUCCACCCAUUUUGUAAGUACUUUCAGUAAGCACUUAGCAAAUUGGAGUGAUAGUUUUGUUUGUUUUUAAAAAUAUAAAAGUGUACAAAAGAAAUAGAAAGGGGGAGAUGGAGAGAAAAGGAGAGAAAAAUAGAAGUAAAAGGGGCAUAUACAGAGAUGCCAAAUCACUAUUGAGUGAUGUGGUGUCACAAUAUUUGCUAACCUCAUGUCAACACAGCAAGUCCAGAUGGUCUUAUUUAUAGCUUGUUAUUUCAAUAACACAUAAAUCUUUUCUCUUGAAAUAUAGAGCUAAAGGGAAGGCUGAUUUGUGUGAUUACUUUUAAGUGAUUUUAUAGGCCUAACUUAAAAAUAGUUAGAAUGAUGGCAGGAAAAAAAAAAACAAAACAAAAACUUAAUUUCAGUUGACACGCUCACCACAAAGCUGUUUUGAAGACAGAUGGGAGGAGGUAGGAACAUCUUGCUGUAAAAGAACAGAUCCCAGUACCUGAUAUAAGAAUGUCAAAUUCUGAAAGUUCCCUGUGAACUUGGCCCGGAAGGUUCUAAAUAGCAGCAGUGGCAGUAUGAGUAAUGGGCUGUCUGCUGAACACUAGGCUGUUGAAUACUGGGCUUGUCCACGCCCCAUGGGGGGGGAAUUAAAAGCAAGGGAAGACGUCAAUGCAACUUUCAAAGUAGCUGAAACCAUUUUCAGCACAGACGUGUGAGCUGCAAUAAAUGUUUGGCAUGGGAAAAGGCUUGAGGAGUCAAAUUGGCUUCGGGGUCGUCCCUAAACCCAAUACCCCAGAUCCCACCCCUUCCAGGAAGCAUGGUUCUAGACCACAUCUGAGUUACCGGUGUCCCCCCCACUCCUGCAGGCCCCAGCCAGUCCUUCUCCUCCCCACCUUGCAAAGAGUGCCAUUGUAGAUCCUGGACGGCUGUCCCAUAUGACAAGAGCUCUCCAGAGUCCCAUCUGUUGGAAUGGGUGGGGCCUGGGACCAUUUCAGAG